Molecule: ribosomal RNA, 435 nt
Filed under: uncultured bacterium
Lineage: Bacteria
Description: partial 16S ribosomal RNA
Rfam family: Bacterial small subunit ribosomal RNA
Source: RNAcentral
AGCGAACGCUGGCGGCAGGCUUAACACAUGCAAGUCGAGCGGGCAUCUUCGGAUGUCAGCGGCAGACGGGUGAGUAACACGUGGGAACGUACCCUUCGGUUCGGAACAACUCUGGGUAACUGGAGCUAAUACCGGAUACGCCCUUAUGGGGAAAGGUUUACUGCCGAAGGAUCGGCCCGCGUCUGAUUAGCUAGUUGGUGGGGUAACGGCCUACCAAGGCGACGAUCAGUAGCUGGUCUGAGAGGAUGAUCAGCCACACUGGGACUGAGACACGGCCCAGACUCCUACGGGAGGCAGCAGUGGGGAAUAUUGGACAAUGGGCGCAAGCCUGAUCCAGCCAUGCCGCGUGAGUGAUGAAGGCCUUAGGGUUGUAAAGCUCUUUUGUCCGGGACGAUAAUGACGGUACCGGAAGAAUAAGCCCCGGCUAACUUCGUG